Molecule: ribosomal RNA, 771 nt
Filed under: uncultured marine Syndiniales
Lineage: Eukaryota; Dinophyceae; Syndiniales
Description: SSU rRNA
Rfam family: Eukaryotic small subunit ribosomal RNA
Source: RNAcentral
AUUACCCAAUCACGACACGUGGAGGUAGUGACAAGAAAUAACAAAGCAAGCCAGUAUUCUGGUUUUGCUAUUGGAAUGAGUAGAAUUUAAAUCUCUUUACGACUAUCAAUUGGGGGGCAAGUCUGGUGCCAGCAGCCGCGGUAAUUCCAGCUCCAAUAGCGUAUAUUAAAGUUGUUGCGGUUAAAAAGCUCGUAGUUGGAUUUCUGUUGAGGACGGCCGGUCCGCACUAUGUGCGUGUAUCUGGUUCGGCCUCGGCAUCCUCUUGAGGAACGUUUCUGCGCUUGAUUGCGUGGAGCGGUAUUCAAGACUUUUACUUUGAGGAAAUUAGAGUGUUCACGGCAGGCAAGCGCCUUGAAUAUGUUAGCAUGGAAUAAUAAUAUAGGAUCUUGGUUCUAUUUGUUGGUUUCUAGGGCUAAGGUAAUGAUUAAUAGGGAUAAUUGGGGGCAUUUGUAUUAACGCGUCAGAGGUGGAAUUCUUGGAUUGCGUUACGACAAACUACUGCGAAAGCAUUUGCCAAGGAUGUUUUCAUUGAUCAAGAACGAAAGUAUGGGGAUCGAAGAUGAUUAGAUACCGUCGUAGUCUAUACCAUAAACUAUGCCGACUAGGGAUUGGAGGUCGUUCUUUUUAUGACUCCUUCAGCACCUUAUGAGAAGUCAAAGUCUUUGGGUUCCGGGGGGAGUAUAGUCGCAAGGCUGAAACUUAAAGGAAUUGACGGAAGGGCACCACCAGGAGUGGAGCCUGCGGCUUAAUUUGACUCAACACGGGGGAAAC